Molecule: ribosomal RNA, 253 nt
Filed under: Foraminifera environmental sample
Lineage: Eukaryota; Foraminifera
Description: partial small subunit ribosomal RNA
Rfam family: Eukaryotic small subunit ribosomal RNA
Source: RNAcentral
GUGGAAAAUGUGGCUUAAUUUGACUCAACACGGGAAAUCUUACCAGGUCCGGACACAUUAAGGAUUGACAGAUUAAUAUAUAAAUAUGAUAGUUCUUUCAUAAUUAUGUGAUAGGUGGUGCAUGGCCGUUCUUAGUUCGUGGAGUGAUUUGUCUGCUUAAUUGCGUUUCAUUUAUAAAAAACAAUACAAUUAUAUUAUUUUUUUUAAAAUAAUUUAUAUAUGUAUUAAAUAUUGAAUGCAACGAACGUGACCG